UACGGAGGGCGCAAGCGUUGUUCGGAAUCACUGGGCGUAAAGAGCUCGUAGGCGGUUUGUCGCGUCUGCUGUGAAAACCCGAGGCUCAACCUCGGGCUUGCAGUGGGUACGGGCAAACUAGAGUGUGGUAGGGGAGACUGGAAUUCCUGGUGUAGCGGUGGAAUGCGCAGAUAUCAGGAGGAACACCAAUGGCGAAGGCAGGUCUCUGGGCCACAACUGACGCUGAGGAGCGAAAGCAUGGGGAGCGAACAGG
Molecule: ribosomal RNA, 253 nt
Filed under: uncultured bacterium
Lineage: Bacteria
Description: partial 16S ribosomal RNA
Rfam family: Bacterial small subunit ribosomal RNA
Source: RNAcentral